GAGGAUCCGGUCUCAAGAAGAGUGGGAAGAAAUGAGUCUGCCCACCCUUACAAAAUGCCCAGAAAAUGAUAAUCUAUCUAUCUACCUAUCUGUGUCGCGCUUCACUAUCUGUGGUUGUAAAAGACUACCUUCAGUUGUGUUGAGCAUUAAGCAUCGUCGCAGUCGGUUGCUGAAACCUAUGGCAUUUGAGCAGCCUCUUCUGCUUAUCUGUGAUGCAGAUGGUCCCUAGCUAAUAAUGACAUGACUUGUUUUGUGAUGAAAAUCUCUAAUGUGUGCAUCAAGUCUUCCAAUUU
RNAcentral lists this long non-coding RNA (293 nucleotides) under Triticum aestivum (bread wheat). RNAcentral describes it as "long non-coding RNA (TAES_LNC016751)". Lineage: Eukaryota; Viridiplantae; Streptophyta; Magnoliopsida; Poales; Poaceae. The record is from RNAcentral.